Molecule: ribosomal RNA, 765 nt
Filed under: uncultured Streptococcus sp.
Lineage: Bacteria; Bacillati; Bacillota; Bacilli; Lactobacillales; Streptococcaceae
Description: bacterial SSU rRNA
Rfam family: Bacterial small subunit ribosomal RNA
Source: RNAcentral
GAUGAACGCUGGCGGCGUGCCUAAUACAUGCAAGUAGAACGCUGAAGCUUGGUGCUUGCACCGAGCGGAUGAGUUGCGAACGGGUGAGUAACGCGUAGGUAACCUGCCUCUUAGCGGGGGAUAACUAUUGGAAACGAUAGCUAAUACCGCAUAAAAGUCGACAUUGCAUGAUGUUGACUUGAAAGGUGCAAUUGCAUCACUAAGAGAUGGACCUGCGUUGUAUUAGCUAGUUGGUGAGGUAACGGCUCACCAAGGCGACGAUACAUAGCCGACCUGAGAGGGUGAUCGGCCACACUGGGACUGAGACACGGCCCAGACUCCUACGGGAGGCAGCAGUAGGGAAUCUUCGGCAAUGGGGGCAACCCUGACCGAGCAACGCCGCGUGAGUGAAGAAGGUUUUCGGAUCGUAAAGCUCUGUUGUAAGAGAAGAACGAGUGUGAGAGUGGAAAGUUCACACUGUGACGGUAACUUACCAGAAAGGGACGGCUAACUACGUGCCAGCAGCCGCGGUAAUACGUAGGUCCCGAGCGUUAUCCGGAUUUAUUGGGCGUAAAGCGAGCGCAGGCGGUUAGAUAAGUCUGAAGUUAAAGGCUGUGGCUUAACCAUAGUACGCUUUGGAAACUGUUUAACUUGAGUGCAGAAGGGGAGAGUGGAAUUCCAUGUGUAGCGGUGAAAUGCGUAGAUAUAUGGAGGAACACCGGUGGCGAAAGCGGCUCUCUGGUCUGUAACUGACGCUGAGGCUCGAAAGCGUGGGGAGCAAACAGG